This 497-nucleotide ribosomal RNA is filed under the name uncultured bacterium. RNAcentral's name for it is "partial 16S ribosomal RNA". It matches the Rfam family "Bacterial small subunit ribosomal RNA", at positions 28 to 507 of the family's 1533-position model. The record is from RNAcentral.
GAUGAACGCUGGCGGCGUGCCUAAUACAUGCAAGUCGAGCGAACGGACGAGAAGCUUGCUUCUCUGAUGUUAGCGGAGGACGGGUGUGUAACACGUGGAUAACCUACCUAUAAGACUGGGAUAACUUCGGGAAACCGGCGCUAAUCCCGGAUAAUAUUUUGAACCGCAUGGUUCAAAAGUGAAAGACGGUCUUGCUGUCACUUAUAGAUGGAUCCGCGCUGCAUUAGCUAGUCGGUAAGGUAACGGCUUACCAAGGCAACGAUGCAUAGCCGAACUGAGAGGGGGAUCGGCGACACGGGAAGUGAGACACGGACCAGACUCCUGCGGGAGGCAGCAGUAGGGAAUCGUCCGCAAUGGGCGAAAGCCUGACGGAGCAACGCCGCGUGAGAGAUGAAGGUCUUCGGAGCGUAAAACUGUGUUAUGAGGGAAGAACAGAUGUGUAAGUAACUGUGCACAUCGUGACGGUACCUAAUCAGAAAGCCACGGCUAACUACGUG